ACAGGGUUCAAAUGGAAACUCAAGUUCAUCUCUGGGUCUACGCCUGCUUCCUCAUUCAACUCCUACGCUUUUUUCCCAUCUCCAAGACCGUUUUUUUUGUUCUCAGAUCUUGACAAUGAUAUUCAUCUCGACGGUAUUACACUGAUAUUGUGGAUUUAAGAUGAAUCAGUCCGGGUCGCAGCUAGGUCCAUACGGCUUUGGCCCCGCAGUCGGUUAUUUACAGGUAAAUUACAUUUAAUGUCAACAACUCAAUAUCUUUGAAUGAGUCUUAGAAUUUUACUCAUUUUAGGGGAAAUUACUCACCACAACAAAGUCUCAACAUUCUAAUUCUUUUUAAUUAUAUGGUGAUUCAUCAGCUCUAUUCUUUUGUUUUGUUGAUAUGAUCUCAGUGCGUUGAGUAUGUGGAUAUUAGUUAGGAAAUCUUAGAUUCCAUUUGAUGGCAGCUGAUUAUAUGUAUGUGAUAAAAAGUUCUGAAGGAGGAGACUUUCACAAUGCUAGCUUAAUUGUCUUGGGAAUAUCCUGUUGAGCCCCUCUGUUCGUGUCUUGAACUAUGUAAAGGUAAUUUCUUUUUUAAAAUUGCACCAAAAUCUAACACAUACCCAAAUAAUGCAAAAAAUUUCGUUCAAGCAGAGUUUGUGCUGAAAGGAUGUGCAUGUGAAGGAGAAAGGACUAUCACAUUCACUGUAUCUGAUUCAGUAAAUAAAGAAAUAUAUGAAAAAUGUCUCUGAUAUGAUAUAUUCCUUAUCAAGGGAAGUGUACAUUCAACUCCUAUAGCCAGAGGAACCAUUACUAGCAAUCCAUGCUUAACAAUCUUUGAAGUGGUAGAAGAUUCAUUGAAUGCGAUUCUUUACUUAUAAGAGUAUAAGAUAUUUCAUAUCUGAUGUUUACAUGCAGAGAUGGUGAUUGUUUGUAACUUUUUGUUGACAGCUUUAAUUUUCUUUCAAUUUGAUGUAGCAAGUGUUAUAAUUUAUAAUGCUUCAGUGAAUAGAAUAAAUACAUGAGAUCA
This is a non-coding RNA of Nicotiana tabacum (common tobacco), 1006 nucleotides long. NCBI's taxonomy places the organism in Eukaryota, Viridiplantae, Streptophyta, Magnoliopsida, Solanales, Solanaceae. The record is from RefSeq and is a predicted model, not a curated record.